RNAcentral lists this non-coding RNA (24 nucleotides) under Arabidopsis thaliana (thale cress). Lineage: Eukaryota; Viridiplantae; Streptophyta; Magnoliopsida; Brassicales; Brassicaceae. The record is from RNAcentral.
GACUGGUGUUCGACCACGGUUGGA